RNAcentral lists this ribosomal RNA (122 nucleotides) under uncultured bacterium. Its description in RNAcentral is "partial 16S ribosomal RNA". It matches the Rfam family "Bacterial small subunit ribosomal RNA", at positions 118 to 236 of the family's 1533-position model. The record is from RNAcentral.
UGAGCAAUCUGCCCUUCUCUUCGGAAUAAGCGUUGGAAACGACGUCUAAUGCCGAAUACGACCUCCUUUCGCAUGAUCGGAGGUGGAAAGCUCCGGGCGGAGAAGGAUGAGCUCGCGGUCCG